GCGGACGUAGCUCAGAGGUAGAGCAUCUUCUAGCUAAGAAGAAGAUUUGAGGGUUCGAGUCCCUUCGUCCGCU
This 73-nucleotide transfer RNA is filed under the name Candidatus Woesebacteria bacterium RIFOXYA1_FULL_43_16. RNAcentral's name for it is "tRNA-Ser". It matches the Rfam family "tRNA". Rfam says of the family: Transfer RNA (tRNA) molecules are approximately 80 nucleotides in length. Their secondary structure includes four short double-helical elements and three loops (D, anti-codon, and T loops). Further hydrogen bonds mediate the characteristic L-shaped molecular structure. tRNAs have two regions of fundamental functional importance: the anti-codon, which is responsible for specific mRNA codon recognition, and the 3' end, to which the tRNAs corresponding amino acid is attached (by aminoacyl-tRNA synthetases). tRNAs cope with the degeneracy of the genetic code in two manners: having more than one tRNA (with a specific anti-codon) for a particular amino acid; and 'wobble' base-pairing, i.e. permitting non-standard base-pairing at the 3rd anti-codon position. RNAcentral also lists the same sequence under 3 other names. Lineage: Bacteria; Candidatus Woeseibacteriota. The record is from RNAcentral.